UACAGAGGUCCCAAGCGUUGUUCGGAUUCAUUGGGCGUAAAGGGUGCGUAGGCGGCGCGGUAAGUCGGGUGUGAAAUCUCGGAGCUUAACUCCGAAACUGCAUUCGAUACUGCCGUGCUUGAGGACUGGAGAGGAGACUGGAAUUUACGGUGUAGCGGUGAAAUGCGUAGAUAUCAGGAGGAACACCUGUGGUGUAGACGGCUCUCUGGACCGCAACUGACGCUGAGACACGAAAGCGUGGGUAGCAAACAGG
RNAcentral lists this ribosomal RNA (253 nucleotides) under uncultured bacterium. RNAcentral describes it as "partial 16S ribosomal RNA". It matches the Rfam family "Bacterial small subunit ribosomal RNA", at positions 524 to 776 of the family's 1533-position model. The record is from RNAcentral.